UACGUAGGGGGCAAGCGUUGUCCGGAUUUAUUGGGCGUAAAGCGCGCGCAGGCGGCGCUUUAAGUUGGGGGUUAAAGGCAGUGGCUCAACCAUUGUACGCCUCCAAAACUGGAGCGCUUGAGUGCAGGAGAGGAAAGCGGAAUUCCCGGUGUAGCGGUGGAAUGCGUAGAGAUCGGGAGGAACACCAGUGGCGAAGGCGGCUUUCUGGCCUGUAACUGACGCUGAGGCGCGAAAGCGUGGGGAGCAAACA
This 250-nucleotide ribosomal RNA is filed under the name uncultured bacterium. Its description in RNAcentral is "partial 16S ribosomal RNA". It matches the Rfam family "Bacterial small subunit ribosomal RNA", at positions 524 to 774 of the family's 1533-position model. The record is from RNAcentral.